RNAcentral lists this small RNA (632 nucleotides) under Oryza sativa Japonica Group (Japanese rice). RNAcentral describes it as "sRNA Os03g0817300". The stretch from base 146 to 229 matches the Rfam family "MIR390 microRNA precursor family". The record is from RNAcentral. Lineage: Eukaryota; Viridiplantae; Streptophyta; Magnoliopsida; Poales; Poaceae.
CUUCUCUAGCUAGCUCACUUCUCUCCACCAUGCAUGAAGGAUCUCAUGGCCUUUGUUUCUUCUUCUUCUUCUUCAUCCACCUCUUGUCGAGGGAAGUGAGGACUCUUUUAGGCGUUCAAAGGGAGAGAUGUUUUGAGGAAGGGUAUGGAACAAUCCUUGAAGCUCAGGAGGGAUAGCGCCUCGAAAUCAAACUAGGCGCUAUCUAUCCUGAGCUCCAUGGUUUGUUCUUACCACACGACCAAUUAAAUCUGCAGUCUCCACGCACACCUCUGAAGUUUUCAUUGCUUGCCACAGUUCAGUACCGAAAGGUGAGCUAUUUGCAUAUAGCUGUCUGUUCUACUCUGUCCAUGAGAUGGGCAUGCACUCUAUAGCUAGCUUAGCUUGAUUACCUCUUUGCUUUUCUUGCACCUGGUCAUGCCAUGGUGCUAACUAUAGCUUUUGCUUCUUCUGACUUCUCUUGGUUAGUUUACUGUAUACUCCAUGCAUCUAUGUGCAUGAAACCAUGCAUGUAUAAAUGUAUUCAUUCAUGAACCAGCAUGCAUGCAUGUCGUUGAUUGAUAGGUUAUGGGCAUGGCCUUAACUUGCUACCCUACAAGAACGAAGUAAAUGCUGACCUAACCAAUUCAUGAGCA